Molecule: ribosomal RNA, 253 nt
Filed under: uncultured bacterium
Lineage: Bacteria
Description: partial 16S ribosomal RNA
Rfam family: Bacterial small subunit ribosomal RNA
Source: RNAcentral
UACGGGGGGGGCAAGCGUUGUUCGGAAUUACUGGGCGUAAAGGGUUCGUAGGUGGCUUGCUAAGUCAGACGUGAAAUCCCUCAGCUUAACUGGGGAACUGCGUCUGAUACUGGCGAGCUUGAGUGCAGGAGAGGAACGCGGAAUUCCAGGUGUAGCGGUGAAAUGCGUAGAGAUGUGGAGGAACACCAGUGGCGAAGGCGACUCUGUGGCCUGUAACUGACGCUGAGGCGCGAAAGCGUGGGGAGCAAACAGG